RNAcentral lists this ribosomal RNA (459 nucleotides) under uncultured bacterium. Its description in RNAcentral is "partial 16S ribosomal RNA". It matches the Rfam family "Bacterial small subunit ribosomal RNA", at positions 339 to 795 of the family's 1533-position model. The record is from RNAcentral.
CUACGGGGCGCUGCAGUGAGGAAUAUUGGUCAAUGGGCGCAAGCCUGAACCAGCCAUGCCGUGUGAAGGAUGACGGCCCUAUGGGUUGUAAACUUCUUUUAUACGGGAAGAAACGCCUCUACGUGUAGAGGUUUGACGGUACCGUACGAAUAAGCAUCGGCUAACUCCGUGCCAGCAGCCGCGGUAAUACGGAGGAUGCAAGCGUUAUCCGGAUUUAUUGGGUUUAAAGGGUACGUAGGCGGAAGAUUAAGUCAGUAGUGAAAUCCUGCAGCUUAACUGUAGAACUGUUAUUGAUACUGGUUUUCUCGAAUGUAGUUGAGGUAGGCGGAAUAAGUAAUGUAGCGGUGAAAUGCUUAGAUAUUACUUAGAACACCGAUUGCGAAGGCAGCUUACUAAGCUAUGAUUGACGCUGAGGUACGAAAGCGUGGGGAGCGAACAGGAUUAGAUACCCUUGUAGUC